CAUUUCCGUCCCGCCCACCAAUCCCGGCCUGGUCCACAAGGCUUUCGCCUCGUCGCCCCUCCCCGACGGCUCCGGAGGUCCCACGACGCUCCCAUUCCCUUGCGCAUCCAGCACUGCACUUUCCGUUGCGUUUCAGUCCCGGCGGAGUCGGGGCACGGACUCCUGCGGGUCACACAAGCUCCAAUGAGAGGUCGGUCUGAACUGGAUUAGGAAAGCGUUCGCCAGCAUCGUUACCAGUAGUGGAAAUAUUUUAGUAUUUGUGUCCCAUGACCCUAGGAACUGAUGAAGGAAGCAGAGCCAGCACCGUGUUUGAGCGUCUGCGACAGCGCUUUCCUUUUUAAUCUUAACAACAAUUCUUGGGGGUAAAAUUGUUAUUCCCUAGUCUGCUCACUUUUCCAAUAGAGUGUUCUCAAAAGACUUUCUUUAAACUUGUACCACUACCACAUUC
This 448-nucleotide long non-coding RNA is filed under the name Homo sapiens (human). Its description in RNAcentral is "HSALNT0395113". Lineage: Eukaryota; Metazoa; Chordata; Mammalia; Primates; Hominidae. The record is from RNAcentral.